UUCCUGAGAUUGAUAAAUUUCCUCUCGGCGUUGGUGGUCAUUUUGACAAAACCGUCACAACACAAAACUCUAGAUGGUGGAAAAAUACAAAGCGCAAGUUUCGGCGCUAAAGCCAUUUGAAAAUGGCGCCGAAUGAGACCAGACUUUCCCCAUGGAAACGGGAUCUGCCUCCGAAAUCUGCCUCCGCCCUCUGCCGGUGGACUGCUGAAGUACCCGUACGUACGCUUUCCCGAGGGCAGGAUGCUUCAUUUUGUUCAGCCGACUGUAGACUGUAGGUUGGAUUCCGAACAUGACACUUGUGUGUAAUGACCUAACACACUUCCAAGUAAAAAGCCUCCCAAAGUUUCGUUUGUAAAUGAAUUUGUCAUAGAAAAUAAGCAAAACUUUCUGUGAUCAUCAGUCUAUUUAAAUGCAAAACCCUCGGGACAAAGCUUGUGAACGAGAGCUAUUCAAGUUAUUCAGUUUAUACUUCAAGACUGUGAUAUGAAAAACACUAGUCUAUAUAAAUGCAGUCCAUUAAUAUGGAUAUAUAUAUAGAGGUUUAUCAUCGGACUACAGGAUUUACAGGAAAAUGAAAUUUACAGUUAUGCUUUCAGAUGGCACCCUCUCCUGGGUCUAAAAAGACCAUUUUCACUUAAACCAUUUUCCCUUCAUGCCAAAAGCAAACCAACAGACUCAAAGCAACAUAGCAGAGCUUUAUUGCACAUUUGUCAUUCUCAGAGAUAUAAACAUCACAGCUGCACAGGACAGAAGAUGUGAAUGCAGUGAAAGUAUCUCCUGUCCAAUUGGCUCUCAGUGAAUGUGCCACUGGAUUCUGCUCUGGGAAUGCACUGCGGCUUGGUUUUUAUUUACAAUCUUCCUGUUUCCCUGUGGUGAGGAGGAAGCCAGAGAAAGUCCCUUACUCAGUCAUAGUGUUUCUUUGUUUGAGAAUGCUCCUCUUCCAGGGAAGGACUUGAAAUUGUAGUUGAGUGUUUGUUUAUGUAUGAAUGCUGUUAAUGCUAUAAUUUAAACAAGUACUUUGAAAUGGU
Anguilla rostrata (American eel) is the source of this 1028-nucleotide long non-coding RNA. RefSeq lists it as uncharacterized. The transcript is spliced from 2 exons. The record is from RefSeq and is a predicted model, not a curated record. NCBI's taxonomy places the organism in Eukaryota, Metazoa, Chordata, Actinopteri, Anguilliformes, Anguillidae.